This 878-nucleotide ribosomal RNA is filed under the name uncultured Neocallimastigales. RNAcentral describes it as "partial large subunit ribosomal RNA". It matches the Rfam family "Eukaryotic large subunit ribosomal RNA", at positions 1 to 646 of the family's 3401-position model. Lineage: Eukaryota; Fungi; Neocallimastigomycota; Neocallimastigomycetes; Neocallimastigales. The record is from RNAcentral.
CAUCACUACGCUAGAUGCAUAUCAAUAAGCGGAGGAAAAGGCUGCAGAACUGAACGACCACUACCUACGCUUAGGAUGUUGACACACGCGCGUGCUCGACUCUAUACAUGACUCUGUGCAUAUCAAUAAGCGGAGGAAAAGAAACUAACAAGGAUUCCCUUAGUAACGGCGAGUGAAGCGGGAAGAGCUCAAACUUGAAAUCUUCAAGGUUUUACCUUGACGAAUUGUAGUUUAAAGAAGUGUUUUCUGUUGAAGUUUUGGUAAAAGUUCUUUGGAAUAGGACAUCAUAGAGGGUGAGAAUCCCGUAUUUGACCAUUAUUUUCAGCUGUGUGAUACACUUUCAAAGAGUCGGAUUGUUUGGGAAUGCAGUCCAAAAUGGGUGGUAAAUUUCAUCUAAAGCUAAAUAUUGGCGAGAGACCGAUAGCGAACAAGUACCGUGAGGGAAAGAUGAAAAGAACUUUGAAAAGAGAGUUAAACAGUACGUGAAAUUGUCAAAAGGGAAGCGUUUGACACCAGUGUUGUUUUCUCGAAAAUCAAUUAAAAAAAGUUGGAUUUUGUGUUGUAUUGACCUUAACAGCUUUCUGCACUCUUUUCCUGCUUUUUUUAAUGCACUUUUCGUUUAACAAGUCAACAUCAGUUUCUUUUGUUGUAAAAGGGUCAUUGGAAGGUGGCUUUCUUUUCGGAGAAAGUGUUUAUAGCCUUUGAUCUCUGCAAUCGGAGAGGACUGAGGUCUGCAGCGUAGAUCCUUCGGGGUUAGAUACAUUUGUGCUAAGUUAUAACUUUUCAUAGACAACUUGUUGACUAAUGUUUUAGUCAUGUAGCUUACUCGCUUAUGCUAUUUUACCUACGCUUAGGAUGUUGACGCAUGAGAUAUACGC